GGAAUAUUGGACAAUGGGCGCAAGCCUGAUCCAGCCAUGCCGCGUGUGUGAAGAAGGCCUUCGGGUUGUAAAGCACUUUCAGCGGGGAGGAAGGGUGUUGUGUUAAUAGCACAGCAUUUUGACGUUACCCGCAGAAGAAGCACCGGCUAACCCCGUGCCAGCAGCCGCGGUAAUACGGAGGGUGCAAGCGUUAAUGGGAAUUACUGGGCGUAAAGCGAACGUAGGCGGUAUGUUAAGUUGGAUGUGAAAGCCCCGGGCUCAACCUGGGAAUUGCAUUCAAAACUGGCAUGCUAGAGUAUGGUAGAGGGUGGUGGAAUUUCCUGUGUAGCGGUGAAAUGCGUAGAUAUAGGAAGGAACACCAGUGGCGAAGGCGACCACCUGGACUGAUACUGACACUGAGGUGCGAAAGCGUGGGGAGCAAAC
Molecule: ribosomal RNA, 423 nt
Filed under: uncultured bacterium
Lineage: Bacteria
Description: bacterial SSU rRNA
Rfam family: Bacterial small subunit ribosomal RNA
Source: RNAcentral